GAGGAGCUUGCUCUUCAAAUCGAGUGGCGAACGGGUGAGUAACGCGUGAGGAACCUGCCUCAAAGAGGGGGACAACAGUUGGAAACGACUGCUAAUACCGCAUAAGCCCACGGCUCGGCAUCGAGCAGAGGGAAAAGGAGCAAUCCGCUUUGAGAUGGCCUCGCGUCCGAUUAGCUAGUUGGUGAGGUAACGGCCCACCAAGGCGACGAUCGGUAGCCGGACUGAGAGGUUGAACGGCCACAUUGGAACUGAGACACGGCCCAGACUCCUACGGGGGGCAGCAGUGGGGAAUAUUGCACAAUGGGGGAAACCCUGAUGCAGCGACGCCGCGUGGAGGAAGAAGGUCUUCGGAUUGUAAACUCCUGUUGUUGAGGAAGAUAAUGACGGUACUCAACAAGGAAGUGACGGCUAACUACGUGCCAGCAGCCGCGGUAAAACGUAGGUCACAAGCGUUGUCCGGAAUUACUGGGUGUAAAGGGAGCGCAGGCGGGAGAACAAGUUGGAAGUGAAAUCCAUGGGCUCAACCCAUGAACUGCUUUCAAAACUGUUUUUCUUGAGUAGUGCAGAGGUAGGCGGAAUUCCCGGUGUAGCGGUGGAAUGCGUAGAUAUCGGGAGGAACACCAGUGGCGAAGGCGGCCUACUGGG
This 645-nucleotide ribosomal RNA is filed under the name uncultured bacterium. RNAcentral's name for it is "bacterial SSU rRNA". It matches the Rfam family "Bacterial small subunit ribosomal RNA", at positions 73 to 733 of the family's 1533-position model. The record is from RNAcentral.